UUUAUUCCAUAUGUAUAUUCAAGAUGCUCCUAUAUCGAAGCACCUUUGUUUGAUUAUCACAAUACCUCUGUUAUUUUGCUUUUCAUGCAUGACUUAAAUUUCAAAAUGCUCAGCAAUAUUAAACUUCAUAUACUUGAGUUACAAAAUUUACUUAGUAAGACAGCUUCAAUCUUACGAAGUUCACAGUGCAGUGAUUGAAGAGAAGUGAGGAUAAACAACAAGCCUAAGAAAUGUCUACAACAAACAUAUGGCCUAAGAUACUUUAAUCCUAUAUGUAGGAUUUUACAUAUUCAAGCAAGAGAAUCCCCAGCUUGUGCCCUGCACUUGCCUUUGAACUCUUCUAUGAUGUAUUUAAAGGUAAUAGUUAGUACUCCAUCUUUUCUGUAUCAAUAGCAUAUUGCUAGUUGCGACUUUUGCAUUUUUCCAUGGCUCUUGGUGCUGCAGGAAUCAAACAUAAGUAGAUAAGUACACUUCAAGAUUCAAUAUAUAUAUAUAUGUACAUCAUUUUGUAUCAUUAUGCAGUUGAGUUAUAUCAUGACUGAUGAGGUUUUCAAUGUUAAGACAAGAUAUAAAAGAAAGCACAUAGUUGUAUGAAUCAGUCUCACCUAGUCCAAUUGCUUCAGAACUUUUCAUUAUCCUCAACCUCUUGCAUGAGUCAGUGAACAUCCUAAACAACAACAACAUCAUUUCUCAUGUUGUCCUUUGUUUUGAUUCUGAUAUUAUUAAGAUGAUCAAAUAAAUGUAUUUGCAGAAAAACACAGUUUAACAGAUGUUUACUAUGCAGAGUAAUGCUUUUUUAAGUCUAAACACCAAAUAGAAAUCAAAUCAGAAUAAUGCAAAACAGAGACAUGAUAUGCACUCACUCCCAUGGAACAUCACCAACUAGCAUCCAAUCACCAUCCUUGUCUUCAUAGGUGAGAACAUAUUCUGAACCAUGAAGCAGAUCCAUCAGUCUACUUUCGCUCAACUUAUCUCGACCAGAAACUCCAUGAGAACCACAUUGACCUGCACUUGUCAUUGGUGAAAACAUCAUCAGAAUCUGAAACAUAAAAACCGUUUUAUUGGUAAAGAAUCAUUUGACCUAUUCAUAGCACUCCCGUAAAUAUUCCCCCAGCUCAUGGAACCAACCAGCCUGAGCCUGUGACAUUGGAAGACUUAGGAUUCUGAUUUAAAAGGGUGCCACUUCUGAACAUGAUAAAUUCUUUAUACUUCGCUCAUCAAAAUCAAAUCAAGAGAACAAUUGCUAUAACCAAAGAAUAUUGGAAUUUGAAAGCUAUUCAUAAUUGUACAGUAAGAAGGUAAGAACAACCUUGAAUGGAAUAAUAUGCUUGCAAAGAAAAAUAAAACUCACUGAUUGUAAAACAACUAAACAUCUUUUCCAGUGCUGAAGACAGUUCCAUGUAAGUGCUAAAGUUUUUGAGAUCCACUUUCCUCAAGUAUGGAGCACCAUCCAUGCUAACUUUCACAUAAAGGCACCCUGACUUGGUUUCUGCAUCAUCAUCAUUCUUCUGAGGCUGAGUGGCCAUUGAGUUCUUCCUGAAAGAUCGGAUUGGUGGCCAUCCCACAACCUGUUCCCUGAUCCAAGAAACAGAAAAAUUACACUAUAUUAAAAGGGAAAUUGAGAUAACCAUCAAAGAUCAUAACUUCACAACAAAAAGGAACCCAACCACUAAGCUGGCUAAGGGAAAUGCAAAAUAGAUAAGAACACUGAAGAAAGUUGCAUAAUGAAAAUUGAACUAUUGGUUAUAGGACACUUAAUAAUCCAAGGAGUUCAGUACAAAGUCAUACACAGCAGCAAACAAUUGAUAACCAAGAUGAAGAAGAAAGCUUACAGAACAACCAAAACAACCGAGAUCAUGAUUACCAUGGAAGGAAUACCCCCUAAAUUACAUAGAAAAGAGUUAACAGGUUAUAGAACACUAGAGAGCAACAUGAUAACAUAAUUAGCAACAAGAGUUAAAGAACUCAAAAGCCUCGCCUUGAUAGACUUUACUUAUUUUUCCUUCUUUUCAUUCAAAAUUCAACCAAAUAAUUUUUUCAAAGUAAAACAAAAGAACAAAAAAUCAUUUCUUGUCUCUGAAUUAUCCCAUUUUCUUCUUGAUUCCAACAUUUUCCAAAUAUACAAAAGCUAUAAACAAGACAGCACAAAAAGUGAACAAAGAUAACAUUAACUACAAGAAUACAUAUAUUAUGUGAUGAUGCUAAAGGAAGACGGUGCUACUUUGCAGCAGGAGCAGAUAUCUGAGGUUUCUUCUCAUUCAAAGGUUUUGGAGGCAGAGGAACUUUAUCUUUUACAACAGAAAUUUGUUGGUUGGCAGACUCAGCCUUGGCAGCACUAGCACCAAUACCCCUUGUUGAGAACAAGCCACAAUCUUUU
This 2377-nucleotide long non-coding RNA is filed under the name Vigna radiata. RNAcentral describes it as "long non-coding RNA (VRAD_LNC000173)". Lineage: Eukaryota; Viridiplantae; Streptophyta; Magnoliopsida; Fabales; Fabaceae. The record is from RNAcentral.